CCUACGGGAGGCAGCAGUGAGGAAUAUUGGUCAAUGGCCGAGAGGCUGAACCAGCCAAGUCGCGUGAGGGAAGACGGCCCUACGGGUUGUAAACCUCUUUUGUCGGGGAGCAAAGCGAGUCACGUGUGACUCAUUGAGAGUACCCGAAGAAAAAGCAUCGGCUAACUCCGUGCCAGCAGCCGCGGUAAUACGGAGGAUGCGAGCGUUAUCCGGUUUUCUUGGGUUUAAAGGGUGCGCAGGCGGAGGUGCAAGUCAGCGGUAAAAUGUCGGGGCUCAACCCCGUAAUGCCGUUGAAACUGGAUGCCUUGAGUGCGCGAGAGGUAUGCGGAAUGCGUGGUGUAGCGGUGAAAUGCAUAGAUAUCACGCAGAACUCCGAUUGCGAAGGCAGCAUACCAGCGCGCAACUGACGCUGAUGCACGAAAGCGUGGGUAUCGAACAGGAUUAGAUACCCUUGUAGUC
This 459-nucleotide ribosomal RNA is filed under the name uncultured bacterium. Its description in RNAcentral is "partial 16S ribosomal RNA". It matches the Rfam family "Bacterial small subunit ribosomal RNA", at positions 338 to 795 of the family's 1533-position model. The record is from RNAcentral.